CAGGCUGCAACUCGCCUGNACGAAGUUGGAAUUGCUAGUAAUCGUGGAUCAGCAUGCCACGGUGAAUACGUUCCCGGGUCUUGUACACACCGCCCGUCACACCAUGGGAGCCGGUAAUACCCGAAGUCAGUAGUCUAACCGCAAGGAGGACGCUGCCGAAGGUAGGAUUGGCGACUGGGGUGAAGUCGUAACAAGGUAAC
This 200-nucleotide ribosomal RNA is filed under the name uncultured bacterium. Its description in RNAcentral is "partial 16S ribosomal RNA". It matches the Rfam family "Bacterial small subunit ribosomal RNA", at positions 1301 to 1500 of the family's 1533-position model. The record is from RNAcentral.